RNAcentral lists this ribosomal RNA (253 nucleotides) under uncultured bacterium. RNAcentral describes it as "partial 16S ribosomal RNA". It matches the Rfam family "Bacterial small subunit ribosomal RNA", at positions 524 to 776 of the family's 1533-position model. The record is from RNAcentral.
UACGUAGGCAGCAAGCGUUGUUCGGAGUUACUGGGCGUAAAGGGCGCGUAGGCGGCCUUCUAAGUCAGACGUGAAAUCCCCCGGCUUAACCUGGGAACUGCGUCUGAUACUGGGAGGCUUGAGUAUGGGAGAGGGAUGUAGAAUUCCAGGUGUAGCGGUGAAAUGCGUAGAUAUCUGGAGGAAUACCGGUGGCGAAGGCGGCAUCCUGGACCAUAACUGACGCUGAGGCGCGAAAGCUAGGGGAGCAAACGGG